UGGGAGCGCAGGGCAGGGAGCUCCCUCUGCGGGAGCGCGGAGGCGCUCCUACUUUCUCCGCACGUCACGGGGGCCGCUCAGCGCUCUCCCACCCCGGGCCGGGCGAGAGCGGCUCCCCAGCAGGGCGACGGAGGAGCGCGGCGAGAGCGAGCCGCCGCGGAGAGCCUGGGAACCCAGAGCGCAACCCUCGGCCCCCGCCGGGGCGGCCUCCGCAGCCGCACGGACCCCGCGUUCGGGGCUGGCCCGCUCCCUCUCGGCCCAUGUUCUAGAACUACAUCCUCGGUCACUGUCCCAGUACAGCCAUCUGUAGCACCUCCUCAGUAACUGACGGUGAUGUUCCUUUCCCUACGCUGUUUAUACCAUCAGCCUGGGGUUUUCUUUGGAGGUGACACAAAG
RNAcentral lists this long non-coding RNA (396 nucleotides) under Homo sapiens (human). Its description in RNAcentral is "non-protein coding LINC01336:1". The record is from RNAcentral. Lineage: Eukaryota; Metazoa; Chordata; Mammalia; Primates; Hominidae.